RNAcentral lists this ribosomal RNA (485 nucleotides) under uncultured Thermus sp. RNAcentral describes it as "bacterial SSU rRNA". It matches the Rfam family "Bacterial small subunit ribosomal RNA", at positions 897 to 1382 of the family's 1533-position model. The record is from RNAcentral. Lineage: Bacteria; Thermotogati; Deinococcota; Deinococci; Thermales; Thermaceae.
AAACUUAAAGGAAUUGACGGGGCCCGCACAGCGGUGGAGCAUGUGGUUUAAUUCGAAGCAACGCGCAGAACCUUACCAGCUCUUGACAUUCGGGGUAUGGGCAGUGGAGACAUUGUCCUUCAGUUCGGCUGGCCCUAGACAGGUGCUGCAUGGCCGUCGUCAGCUCGUGCCGUGAGGUGUUGGGUUAAGUCCCGCAACGAGCGCAACCCCGCCGUUAGUUGCCAGCGGUUCGGCCGGGCACUCUAACGGGACUGCCCGCGAAAGCGGGAGGAAGGAGGGGACGACGUCUGGUCAGCAUGGCCCUUACGGCCUGGGCGACACACGUGCUACAAUGCCCACUACAAAGCGAUGCCACCCGGCAACGGGGAGCUAAUCGCAAAAAGGUGGGCCCAGUUCGGAUUGGGGUCUGCAACCCGACCCCAUGAAGCCGGAAUCGCUAAUAAUCGCGGAUCAGCCAUGCCGCGGUGAAUACGUCCCCGGGCCUU